This 301-nucleotide signal recognition particle RNA is filed under the name Carlito syrichta (Philippine tarsier). Its description in RNAcentral is "Metazoan signal recognition particle RNA (ENSTSYG00000033893.1)". It matches the Rfam family "Metazoan signal recognition particle RNA". Rfam says of the family: The signal recognition particle (SRP) is a universally conserved ribonucleoprotein. The record is from RNAcentral. Lineage: Eukaryota; Metazoa; Chordata; Mammalia; Primates; Tarsiidae.
ACCAUAUGCAGUGGUGUGCACCUGCAAUCCCAGCUACUUGGGAGGCUGAGGCAGGAGGGUUGCUUGAACCCAGGAGUUCUGGGCUGUAGUGCACUAUGCAAAUUAAUCAGGUGUCCACAUGGCAUCAAAAUGGUGACCUCUCAGGACAGUGGGAGCCACCAGGUUGCCUAAAGAGGGGUGAACUGGGCCAGAUUGGAAGCAGAGCAGAUCAAAACUCUCUUAUUGAUCAGUAGUGGGAUCAUGCCUAUGAAUAGCCACUGUACUUUAAGUAACCUGGGCAACAUAGCAAGACACAGUCUUU